ACUGGCAGCUCAAGUGGUGGCCAUUAUUAUUGGGCCUAAAGCGUUCGUAGCCGGUUUGAUAAGUCUCUGGUGAAAUCCCGCAGCUUAACUGUGGGACUUGCUGGAGAUACUAUCAGACUUGAGGCCGGGAGAGGUUAGGGGUACUCCCAGGGUAGGGGUGAAAUCCUAUAAGCCUGGGAGGAAUACCUGUGGCGAAGGCGCCUAACUGGAACGAACCUGACGGUGAGUAACGAAAGCCAGGGUCGCGAACCG
RNAcentral lists this ribosomal RNA (252 nucleotides) under uncultured prokaryote. RNAcentral's name for it is "partial 16S rRNA". It matches the Rfam family "Archaeal small subunit ribosomal RNA", at positions 475 to 726 of the family's 1478-position model. The record is from RNAcentral.